CUCCUGGUCCUUUGCACCAGUUCUGGUGCCUGUCUGAUCCUUUACUGAGGUGGUUCGGAGAGCUGGACUCGCAUCAGUGAAGAGCAACAAACACCUCCAACAAACAGUUCAUCCAUUGUAGAAGAGGAGACUGGAUCUUCUUCAUCAAAUCUCAAUGGAACAGAUAGUUCAUCAUCCCGUAUGUCCAUAUUUGUUGUUUUGCACUCACAGCCCCAUGGAUGAACAGUUUGUUUAAAUGUUCCCUAAAUUGAGCCUCCUACAGUGAGGGUCAGUCUUCCUUGCUCCAGACAUUCUCCCUGGUGUCAUGGACCUGGGAUUGCUGAAGGUCAGUCUUCUAGUAAAGGCAGAGGGAAGGAGACACUGAGUGCCUCAUCCUUCUUCCUGUCCCCAGGUACCCUGCCCUACUCAGCCAUGAGCCUACAUAUUCCACUAAGUUCCUUUUGCAGCUGCUGGAUGUGUUACCCUUUGUACUGCUUGCCAGAUUCAGCUUUGAGUGGGCUUUUGUUUUUCUAACCCCAUCCCUGUACACAGAGCCUCUCCAGUCAACUCCCUCAAGGGAGCUGCAUAGCUGUCCUUCUUUGUGAGACUUAACCAGCCUUUUAAAGUCUGGUUUUCUUGACACACUCAUCCCUUGAGACUCCCAUGAUAUGUCAGUUCCAAUUACAGAGGAGGAAUACCAUGAUUUAUUUUCAAAGGAUAAAAAAGUAUCUCUAGCAUGUUUGAGGGAGCGGGACACCAGAGAAGUUAAGACAUUCUGUGGAGCACAAUGUGCUUUCCAGUAGGGUUCAGAGAAUUUCACAAUUUCUGCUAAAAAGAUGAGUGCAUGGAGAGAUUUCUUUUCUUGGAAAAUGUAAUCACCUCAUUCAUCAAUGAAAAGUGAGGGGUUUUGAAAAACUGAAUUUACUGUGAAUGCAAUGCCCUGAAAUUAAGAACACUAACUGCCCGCUUCGAAGGACUGGCAGCAAAGUGUGUUCCUUUCACAAUGUAAAGUAUAGCCCUUGGACAAGCUGCAUUUUAACACAAUAUAAAUGAGCCUUGUACAGCACCUUGCUUCUGAGGACACUUGUUCUUGGCAUAUGAAGAUGCCACCCUAUAAGCUUGGGAAAUCCUGUGUCACAAAAUAGCUCUGGGUUGGCCAGAGACUAUAAAUCAUGUUUUGGAAUUUGGAGUGUUAUCCAAUAUGAAUGAGACCAUUCCUUUUAUAUAAACAACUUUCUAUUUUUUUUCUAUCCAAUAUGCUGGUGCUAAAUAUAUCAUACUAAUGGGCUCUGUAGGCUUGCAGUGGAUUUCCUCUUGUGACUCAAUAUUUUUUCUAUUAAUUUAUUUUUUAUGCGUUUCCACUCCUAUUCUUAGCAGCACAGCAUGUAUCCUCACUAUAAGAAAGAGAAAAACAUGAAGAUGAAGAUCAAGAUGAAGAUCAAGAUGAAGA
Corvus hawaiiensis (hawaiian crow) is the source of this 1429-nucleotide long non-coding RNA. RefSeq lists it as uncharacterized. NCBI's taxonomy places the organism in Eukaryota, Metazoa, Chordata, Aves, Passeriformes, Corvidae. The record is from RefSeq and is a predicted model, not a curated record. The transcript has 4 exons.